Molecule: transfer RNA, 73 nt
Organism: Sandaracinus amylolyticus
Lineage: Bacteria; Pseudomonadati; Myxococcota; Polyangiales; Sandaracinaceae
Rfam family: tRNA
About the family: Transfer RNA (tRNA) molecules are approximately 80 nucleotides in length. Their secondary structure includes four short double-helical elements and three loops (D, anti-codon, and T loops).
Source: Rfam
GGGUCAUUAGCUCAAUUGGUAGAGCAGCGGACUCUUAAUCCGUUGGCUCUCGGUUCAAGUCCGAGAUGACCCA